CAUAUCAAUAAGCGGAGGAAAAGAAACUAACAAGGAUUCCCCUAGUAACGGCGAGCGAAGCGGGAAGAGCUCAAAUUUGAAAGCUGGCGUCUUCGGCGUCCGCGUUGUAAUCUCGAGACGUGUUUUCCGUGCGGCUCUAUGGACAAGUCCCUUGGAACAGGGCAUCGUAGAGGGUGAAAAUCCCGUACUUGCCAUGGAAGUACCGUGCUUUGUGAUACACGCUCCAAGAGUCGAGUAGUUUGGGAUUGCUGCUCAAAGUGGGUGGUAGACUCCAUCUAAAGCUAAAUAUCGGGGAGAGACCGAUAGCGAACAAGUACCGUGAGGGAAAGAUGAAAAGCACUUUGGAAAGAGAGUUAAAAGUACGUGAAAUUGUCGAAAGGGAAGCACUUGAAGUCAGCCAUGCUGCUUGAGACUCAGCCUGGCUUUUGCUUGGUGUAUUUCUCGGUAGCAAGCCAGCAUUGGUUUGUGUCGUCGGAGAAGCGCAUGGGGAAUGUGGCAUCCUCGGAUGUGUUAUAGCCCUGUGCAGGAUACGACGACGUAGACCAAGGAACGCAGUGUGCCCUCUGGGCGGGUCUUCGGACACCUUCACACUUAGGAUGCUGGCGUAAUGGCUUUAAGUGGCCCGUCUUGAAACACGGACC
RNAcentral lists this ribosomal RNA (641 nucleotides) under Malassezia restricta. RNAcentral's name for it is "eukaryotic LSU rRNA". It matches the Rfam family "Eukaryotic large subunit ribosomal RNA", at positions 39 to 667 of the family's 3401-position model. The record is from RNAcentral. Lineage: Eukaryota; Fungi; Basidiomycota; Malasseziomycetes; Malasseziales; Malasseziaceae.